ACGUAGGGUGCGAGCGUUAAUCGGAAUUACUGGGCGUAAAGCGUGCGCAGGCGGUUCGCUAAGACAGGUGUGAAAUCCCCCGGCUCAACCUGGGAAUGGCGUUUGAGACUGGGGGACUUGAGUGCAGCAGAGGGAAGUGGAAUUCCAUGUGUAGCGGUGAAAUGCGUAGAGAUGUGGAGGAACACCGGUGGCGAAGGCAGCUCUCUGGGCUGAAACUGACGCUGAGGCGCGCAAGCGUGGGGAGCAAACAG
RNAcentral lists this ribosomal RNA (251 nucleotides) under uncultured prokaryote. RNAcentral describes it as "partial 16S ribosomal RNA". It matches the Rfam family "Bacterial small subunit ribosomal RNA", at positions 525 to 775 of the family's 1533-position model. The record is from RNAcentral.